AAAGUCGUAACAAGGUCUCCGUUGGUGAACCAGCGGAGGGAUCAUUACCGAGUUUACAACUCCCAAACCCCAAUGUGAACGUUACCAAACUGUUGCCUCGGCGGGUCUCGAGACGCCCGCGUCUCCGCCCCGGGCGCGUCGCAGCCCCGGACCAAGGCGCCCGCCGGAGGACCAACUUACAAACUCUUUGCAUGAGUCCCCUCGCGGAUUCUCUUUAUUUUUAGCUUCUGAGCUUUCUCGGCGCCCCCUAGCGGGCGUUUCGAAAAUGAAUCAAAACUUUCAACAACGGAUCUCUUGGUUCUG
RNAcentral lists this unclassified non-coding RNA (303 nucleotides) under Ascomycota sp. Its description in RNAcentral is "partial contains small subunit ribosomal RNA, internal transcribed spacer 1, and 5.8S ribosomal RNA". The stretch from base 1 to 47 matches the Rfam family "Eukaryotic small subunit ribosomal RNA", at positions 1785 to 1831 of the family's 1831-position model. The record is from RNAcentral. Lineage: Eukaryota; Fungi; Ascomycota.